UGCGGCCGCGAUUCCGGUUGAUCCUGCCGGACCCGAUCGCUAUCGGGGUGGGGCUAAGCCAUGGGAGUCGCACGCCCCGGUAACCGGGGCGUGGCGAACGGCUGAGUAACACGUGGCUAACCUACCCUCGGGACGGGGAUAGUCCCGGGAAACUGGGAGCAAUCCCCGAUAGGUGGAGAUUCCUGGAAGGGUUCUCCACCGAAAGGGUGUUGCGGGGAUGUCCGCAACGCCGCCCGAGGAUGGGGCCACGGCCCAUCAGGUUGUUGGCGGGGUAAGGGCCCGCCAAGCCUAUAACGGGUAGGGGCCGUGAGAGCGGGAGCCCCCAGAUGGGCCCUGAGACAAGGGCCCAGGCCCUACGGGGUGCACCAGGCGCGAAAACUCCGCAA
This 386-nucleotide ribosomal RNA is filed under the name Thermoprotei archaeon. Its description in RNAcentral is "bacterial SSU rRNA". It matches the Rfam family "Archaeal small subunit ribosomal RNA", at positions 1 to 355 of the family's 1478-position model. Lineage: Archaea; Thermoproteati; Thermoproteota; Thermoprotei. The record is from RNAcentral.